This 508-nucleotide ribosomal RNA is filed under the name uncultured bacterium. RNAcentral describes it as "bacterial SSU rRNA". It matches the Rfam family "Bacterial small subunit ribosomal RNA", at positions 28 to 527 of the family's 1533-position model. The record is from RNAcentral.
GACGAACGCUGGCGGCGUGGAUUAGGCAUGCAAGUCGAACGAUAUCAUCCUUUCGGGGGUGAGAGAGUGGCGAACUGGUGAGUAACACGUAGGUUAUCUACCCUCAAGACGGGGACAACCCAGGGAAACUUGGGCUAAUACCGGAUGUGAGCAACUUUUAGUUGUUUGAAAGGUGGCGUAAGCUGUCGCUUGGGGAUGAGCCUGCGUCCUAUUAGUUAGUUGGUGAGGUAACGGCUCACCUAGGCAAUGAUAGGUAGGCGGCCUUAACGGGUGGUCGCCCACACUGGGAUUGAGAUACGGCCCAGACUCCUACGGGAGGCAGCAGUCGAGAAUAGUCUACAAUGGUCGGAAGACUGAUAGUGCGACGCCGCGUGAACGAUGAAUCCCUUCGGGGUGUAAAGUUCUUUUAUAUGUGAGCAGUGCUUCUUAUAUUAACAGUAUGGGGAGAGAGAUAUUAGCAUAUGAAUAAGCAACGGCUAACUCCGUGCCAGCAGCCGCGGUAAACUCG